This 72-nucleotide transfer RNA is filed under the name Camelus bactrianus (Bactrian camel). It matches the Rfam family "tRNA". From Rfam's summary of the family: Transfer RNA (tRNA) molecules are approximately 80 nucleotides in length. Their secondary structure includes four short double-helical elements and three loops (D, anti-codon, and T loops). Further hydrogen bonds mediate the characteristic L-shaped molecular structure. tRNAs have two regions of fundamental functional importance: the anti-codon, which is responsible for specific mRNA codon recognition, and the 3' end, to which the tRNAs corresponding amino acid is attached (by aminoacyl-tRNA synthetases). tRNAs cope with the degeneracy of the genetic code in two manners: having more than one tRNA (with a specific anti-codon) for a particular amino acid; and 'wobble' base-pairing, i.e. permitting non-standard base-pairing at the 3rd anti-codon position. The record is from Rfam by way of RNAcentral. RNAcentral also lists the same sequence under 2 other names. Lineage: Eukaryota; Metazoa; Chordata; Mammalia; Artiodactyla; Camelidae.
GAGGGCAUAGCUCAGUGGUAGAGUGUGUGCUUAGUGUGCACGAGGUCCUGGGUUGAAUCCAUGGUACUUUCA